CUUAAGGACGACUUAUCCAUUGUACAAUUCGGUCUAACCAACCGGCUUGUCAAGGUGGCUCGGGCUGCGGGUGUAGAGCAUGUUCUAGACACAAACCGCAUCUAGUUUAAUUUUGCUUAGCCGAGUAAUUUAUUUUCCCUUUUAUUCAGAUUUCCUUCAUUUACUUUGUAAUCAAUGUCUCAGCUUAUAUUGAAUAAUAAAGAAGUCCUUUGUUCGAAUUAUUUUGUCUCCACUUGUUUUUGUAUUAUUUUUGUCUACUUGAGAAAAAUCAAAGAACAGGUACAAAAACAAGUGUGGGAGAGGAAUCGCCAUCAAGGUAAUCUUACAUAGAAAAAAUUUCAGAAUUAUUUUUAUUCCUCCUAUGACAAUUUAAAUCUGAUUUAUAUGAUAAAAAUAUUGCUAAUAAAAUAAAAAGAUAAAAAAAUAAAUGAAUACUCCAUUUCCUUUCUGCCUUUGAAAUUAAACAUGCAUACUCUUUAUUCCUCGCCAAAAGCCUACCAUUUAUGAGCAACUUUUUAUAAGGACCCCAUUUCUUCUAAGUAAUUGAGAUUUGCGAUAUAGUAGGAUGAUUUGAAACUUGCUCACUUAUGCAAUGAACUUGGGGAUUUAUUUGAUAAAAUUAAAAUUGCAAAAAGUCUGCUCUUCAAUGAUUGAUAAUUACCUACCAAGGCCAAAUAUAUUACUCUUGAUAAAAAAUCUACAAAUAGCUGCUUAUUUGUUUUGAGUUGUGUGAAGUCUUGUUGACCCUUGCUAAGAGAUUUAUCAUGCUCUCAAGAUCAAGAUCAUGUACACUCCAGAUAAAUAUAUAUGCCGCUUCUACACUGGGAGUGCGCAAAAACAUGCCUUACAUGUCCACCAUACAAACACUCCAUGUUUUAAAGAAUGAUCUUUUUAGUGCAUCUUAGAUAAAGACAUGGGCUAUGCAAAAAUAUAUAUAUAAAAAAAGGAGAAAAAAAGGGCAAGUGCCCACCGUAGAAUUAGGGGUAUAAAAAUACCCACCUGAAAAAAAUAUAGGACACAUGAAGGUCCUAAGUAUACAAAAAAAAAGAUGAGCACAUGAAGGCUCACAAGAAAAUAAAAGAGUUAUGAUAGCCAUGUCUAGAAAUACUUGAUGAGAUCAUAUCAACCAAUGAAGUUGUUUAUACCAUAUACCACACACUUGCACAUCUUGAUCUAAGGGUAUGACACUUCUCUUCUUGGAUCCGAGAUUUGACUCGACAAUAUAUACAAGGUAAGUAUGCAUUCUCCUUGGUCCAUACCCAAAACUCCAAAUACAGCUUAUAGAGGUAGGACAAAUCAAGAGGUACUUUUACCUUGGUAAGGAACCAGAAACAUUCUCGAGUGAUUUGAGAGUAUCAUCUGAAGAGCAAGACUAUUUUUAUUCAAAAAGGUAAAAACCCAAGUUUUGAGCAAAGUUGAGUAAGAAGAUUUGAAUCCUAAUUGUUCCAUUUUUCAAUUACUCAAGAUGUUUUGGUAGACACUCUGAAUGCACAUAAGUUCAGGUGAGGCUUGGAAUAGUUUGCAUGCAGGU
This 1531-nucleotide long non-coding RNA is filed under the name Sorghum bicolor (sorghum). RNAcentral describes it as "long non-coding RNA (SBIC_LNC014268)". The record is from RNAcentral. Lineage: Eukaryota; Viridiplantae; Streptophyta; Magnoliopsida; Poales; Poaceae.